Molecule: ribosomal RNA, 253 nt
Filed under: uncultured bacterium
Lineage: Bacteria
Description: partial 16S ribosomal RNA
Rfam family: Bacterial small subunit ribosomal RNA
Source: RNAcentral
UACGGAGGGAGCUAGCGUUGUUCGGAAUUACUGGGCGUAAAGCGCGCGUAGGCGGCUUUGUAAGUUAGAGGUGAAAGCCCGGGGCUCAACCCCGGAAUUGCCUUUAAGACUGCAUCGCUUGAAUCCGGGAGAGGUGAGUGGAAUUCCGAGUGUAGAGGUGAAAUUCGUAGAUAUUCGGAAGAACACCAGUGGCGAAGGCGGGUCUCUGGACAGUUCCUGACGCUGAGGCACGAAGGCCAGGGGAGCAAACGGG